GAAGCUGGCGGCAGGCCUAACACAUGCAAGUCGAGCGCGCCCUUCGGGGUGAGCGGCGGACGGGUUAGUAACGCGUGGGAACGUGCCCAGAUCUAAGGAAUAGCCACUGGAAACGGUGAGUAAUACCUUAUACGCCCUUCGGGGGAAAGAUUUAUCGGAUUUGGAUCGGCCCGCGUUAGAUUAGGUAGUUGGUGGGGUAAUGGCCUACCAAGCCUACGAUCUAUAGCUGGUUUUAGAGGAUGAUCAGCAACACUGGGACUGAGACACGGCCCAGACUCCUACGGGAGGCAGCAGUGGGGAAUCUUGGACAAUGGGGGCAACCCUGAUCCAGCCAUGCCGCGUGAGUGAUGAAGGCCUUAGGGUCGUAAAGCUCUUUCGCCUGUGAUGAUAAUGACAGUAGCAGGUAAAGAAACCCCGGCUAACUCCGUGCCAGCAGCCGCGGUAAUACGGAGGGGGUUAGCGUUGUUCGGAAUUACUGGGCGUAAAGCGCGCGUAGGCGGAUUAGUCAGUUAGAGGUGAAAUCCCAGGGCUCAACCCUGGAACUGCCUUUAAUACUGCUAGUCUUGAGUUCGAGAGAGGUGAGUGGAAUUCCGAGUGUAGAGGUGAAAUUCGUAGAUAUUCGGAGGAACACCAGUGGCGAAGGCGGCUCACUGGCUCGAU
Molecule: ribosomal RNA, 660 nt
Filed under: Rhodobacteraceae bacterium KE2-05
Lineage: Bacteria; Pseudomonadati; Pseudomonadota; Alphaproteobacteria; Rhodobacterales; Paracoccaceae
Description: bacterial SSU rRNA
Rfam family: Bacterial small subunit ribosomal RNA
Source: RNAcentral